Long non-coding RNA from Brassica rapa (field mustard), 2493 nucleotides. RefSeq lists it as uncharacterized. The record is from RefSeq and is a predicted model, not a curated record. Lineage: Eukaryota; Viridiplantae; Streptophyta; Magnoliopsida; Brassicales; Brassicaceae.
ACUUUUAAUCGGUUUUGUUCGGUUUAUUCGGUUUAAUCGGUUAUAUACCAAACCAUAUCCAAAUCCUACGGUUUUUAUAAAAUUAUAUCCAUUCGGUUUAUAUGGUAUAUACCAAAACCAAACCAUAUUGUCUAUUUCGGUUAUGUUAACUACAUAGUUAUAUUUUAUAAUCAUAGUAAAUUAUCUAAAACCAAACCAUAUUGUCUAUUUGGUAUCACCAGAUUUAAUCCACUUUCUCUAACUCGGCUUGAUUCAAUUUUAGUGGGUUAGUUUUACCGGAUUAAAACACCCCCUAAAUAAUUUCAAUAGCACGUACAAUUAGAAAAUCAAGUUUAUUACCCAAGCUACUCCUUUUGUUUUUAAACAAUUGAUGUUCACCAACUUUCCCAUUGGUUUGAAAAUACAAAGCUCCCAUUACAAACAAAAACAUUGAAACAUAUGAUUGAUAAAUAAACUAUUAACACACUUUUCCACGCGUAGCGUGGAGAGAGACUCUAGUAAUUAUAAUAGAAAUGACUUACUCCUUCUAACUUUAAAAUAUAAUUACUGUUAAUAAAUUGGGCCAUAACCAUACUUGUAAUAUAAAUCUCUUUUGUUUAGUUUUACAUAAACAAUAUAUUAAGAACAUGGACCAUUUUAUCUAAAUAUGAUAUAACCAUUUUAAAGCUCUCUUUAAUAAUUAAAAAUUAUUUAGAUUAUUUUGAGUCAAUGUAUAAUUAUAAUAAAAUUUCUUGCUCCUGAUGCAUUAACCAUAUAUGGAUUGUUGUUAAUAAAGUGGUCAUAACCAUAACUAAAUUAUGUGUAUAUAUAUAUAUAUAUAUAUAUAUAUAUCUUGUUUAUAGAGUGCUACAGAGAGUGAGUUUCAAAAUGAGUUCUUUCAAAUACUUGAUUGCGUUCUCUCUGGUGGUUGCGUUUGCCAUUUCCUAUGACCUUUUUUGUGAGAUGAAAAUUAACGCUCAAUGUCAGACGUGUUUUGACUAUUGUAAAGAGUCAAAAAUUGGUACAAGAGUAAGCGCAUGGUACCAGAGUAUGCAAUGCAACACACGGUGUUUAGAAAUGGCUUUCAGGGGUGGUAGUUGGCUAGUUGCAUUCAAUACCAUGAACUUCUUCACAAACCUUCUAUUGAUUAUUCUCGUCGUUGUAAACAUUAUGUAUAAAUAUUAUUCUUUUAGUGCUAGGAUCAUAUAAAUAUAUAUAUAGUUUUAUUGUUUUUUAAUUUUACUUAAAAUCUAAAUAAUCCGCGAAGUAUGUGAAGUUCUUCAUCAGGGGUUUUGGUGUACAUUCUUGCAAAAAUUGUUUUAGUAUUUAAUACGCAUGAUAAAAAAUUAUAUUUAUAAAAUCUAUUAUUGGCACUAUAACUUUUAUAAUGUUAUUUUUUAUAUAUAAUAUGUACAAUUGUACUGUAAAUGUGGCGUAGAGAUAUUAUAAUUUUAUUACUGGUUAUUUGCUUAAUCCAUUUGUUUUUAUUAACCAUUUUCUUGCACAUAGUUGGUCUGGGAUAUAUAUAUAUAUAUAUAUAUUUACUUGAACUUCCCAAUACAAAUCAUAAAAGAAGAGCAAAGAAAAAGCUGUAUUUUCAGGUUAAAAGCCCUAUUCUGGAAAGCUAUGUCAUCAUUCAAUUUACAAAUCAUAAAAGAAGAGCAAAGAAAAAGUUGUUUUUAUUAACGUUUUAAACUUUCAAUUUACAAACCGUUAACAUAUGUCAUCAUUCAUCUAUAAUUUCAUCGAUUUUAAAUGAAAAAUAAUUAAAGAUUAUAGCUGAGGGGUUUUAUCACUAAAAAAACGUGUAAAGUAAUUUAUAAAAACUUGUAAAAUUAGAUUAUAAAUCCUUAUAAAUAUUUUUAUAAUUUCUUUUGACUUUUAUAACCAAUUGAUACAUUAUUUUUGAACUCAUAUAAAAAAAUUAUAAGACUUUAAAAUUAACUUAUAAAUUUAUAACUUUUUACUAAUGUUUAAUAAUGUUUUAUCAAUAAUUUUAUGAAAAUUCGCAAUUCUUACUACAAUGCUUAUCAACUUUUAUAAAUAACUUAUAAGCCUUAAUAAAUUACUUUAUAAAUCUUUAUAGGCAGUACACACUGUUUAUAAAUCUUAUAAAUAUUUUAUAUCUUUAUAAAUAUUUUAUAAAAUAUUUAAAAGGUCUUAUAAAUAAUAUUAUAAACAUUUCUUUAUUUUUGAAUUUUCCCUUUAUUAUAUUUAAUUUAUAAGUGAUUAAUUAUUUAUAAAUGAUUUUAUAUGCCUUUAUAGUCUCUUACAUAUUAAAGUUACUAUAAAUUAUUUUAUCAACUUUGGUGAUUUAUAAACCUUUAUCAUAACUUACAAGCUCUUACAAAUAUUUUAGAGGUUUUUAAUGAUAAGACUCAUCAACUAAAUUUUUUAAUUGUUUUCUAUACAAAAUAGACAGAAUUGUAGAUGAAAUGUGACAUCUAUCUAUCUAAUCUAUUAAAAAGAAGUACAAUUAGUACUUAAACCUUAUUUUUCCUUGAUAUUUACCAU